This 93-nucleotide transfer RNA is filed under the name Pseudomonas fluorescens. Its description in RNAcentral is "tRNA-Ala". Lineage: Bacteria; Pseudomonadati; Pseudomonadota; Gammaproteobacteria; Pseudomonadales; Pseudomonadaceae. The record is from RNAcentral.
UCUGGAUUGGCGAGGUAUCGAGACGCGGGGUUUCAGCAUGUCUCCAUAAAUGUCGGUAUGGACAUGACACCGUUCAGUGCGGUGAUACGGGUC